CGCGGCCUAUCAGCUUGUUGGUGAGGUAAUGGCUCACCAAGGCGUCGACGGGUAGCCGGCCUGAGAGGGUGACCGGCCACACUGGGACUGAGACACGGCCCAGACUCCUACGGGAGGCAGCAGUGGGGAAUAUUGCACAAUGGGCGCAAGCCUGAUGCAGCAACGCCGCGUGAGGGAUGACGGCCUUCGGGUUGUAAACCUCUUUUAGCAGGGAAGAAGCGAGAGUGACGGUACCUGCAGAAAAAGCACCGGCUAACUACGUGCCAGCAGCCGCGGUAAUACGUAGGGUGCAAGCGAUAUCCGGAAUUAUUGGGCGUAAAGAGCUCGUAGGCGGUUUGUCGCGUCUGCUGUGAAAUCUGGGGGCUCAACCCCCAGCCUGCAGUGGGUACGGGCAGACUAGAGUGCGGUAGGGGAGAUUGGAAUUCCUGGUGUAGCGGUGGAAUGCGCAGAUAUCAGGAGGAACACCGAUGGCGAAGGCAGAUCUCUGGGCCGUAAUUGACGCUGAGGAGCGAAAGGGUGGGGAGCAAACAGGCUUAGAUACCCUGGUAGUCCACCCCGUAAACGUGGGGAACUAGUUGUGGGGUCCAUUCCACGGAUUCCGUGACGCAGCUAACGCAUUAAGUUCCCCGCCUGGGGAGUACG
Molecule: ribosomal RNA, 642 nt
Filed under: uncultured Actinomycetes bacterium
Lineage: Bacteria; Bacillati; Actinomycetota; Actinomycetes
Description: bacterial SSU rRNA
Rfam family: Bacterial small subunit ribosomal RNA
Source: RNAcentral